Molecule: long non-coding RNA, 761 nt
Organism: Octopus sinensis (East Asian common octopus)
Lineage: Eukaryota; Metazoa; Mollusca; Cephalopoda; Octopoda; Octopodidae
Exons: 2
Source: RefSeq, a predicted model, not a curated record
UAUACACGCACACACAUACACAUACAACAGGCCUUCAACAGUUUCCAGAUACCAAAUUCACUCAGAAGGCUGAUCGCUCGAGACUACGGCGGGGAAACACUUGCACAAGAUGCCGCGCAGUUGGGCCGAACCCCAAACCAUGCGACUCCGAUGCAAAGUUUUUGACCACACAGCCAUGCUUGUGUGUGUGUGUGUGUGUUUCUCUCUUUGUCUCCCUCUCUCUCUCUCUCUCACACACACAUUAUUUGAAUAUAGAGCAGAUAUGCCUAUGUAGUUUUGAAUUUCGCUUUUCAACUACGCGUGUCUGCGUUCGAACCCAGAACGACGCCCAUUAGGCGAGUGUCGUUUGGCGUAACUUCGGAUAAGUUGAAAUUUAAUGGACUGAACGAUGUAUAAAGCCGGUCGUCGUAUGCACAUCACUAAAAUGGAAUCUCAUGUAGACAAAAUUGAGCAUUUUCAACACCAUUUGCUUUUUGCAUUUAAUUGAGAUGUUAAGGUCGCCAAAGCUGCUUGUGAGAUUUGUGCUGUGUAUGGUGAAAGAGUAAUGCUUGAAAGUAUCUCCUGCUGUUGGUUUUGAUGCUUCAAAAAUGGGAAUUUUGACUUGAAGGAUGGAUCACACACUAGUCAACCAACUGAGUUCAAUGCAGAGCGAUUGAAUCAACUUCGUAAUGAAAAUCCUCAUCAAAUGACCAGAGAAUUGGUGGAGCAGAUGGACUGUGGUUACAAAAAAAAAAAAGAAACUGUGGGGAACCACCUUCACU